AUAACAACUCUUCGCGCAAGCGAAGUUUUAAACCCACCGUGAACCAAAAACCUCUAUAGCUUCGGUAGCGUUGCUGCUGGUCAACGCCAGCUUCAUGUCAGCCUGCCGGUAGCGCAAUAUCAAACUCUUGUUUUAAAAAAAUCCAGUCUGAACUAAAAUUUUCGAAUGAAAAUCAAAACUUUCAACAACGGAUCUCUUGGUUCU
This 204-nucleotide unclassified non-coding RNA is filed under the name rhizosphere metagenome. RNAcentral describes it as "partial ribosomal RNA internal transcribed spacer region". The record is from RNAcentral.